Transfer RNA from Crocosphaera watsonii WH 8501, 73 nucleotides. It matches the Rfam family "tRNA". Rfam says of the family: Transfer RNA (tRNA) molecules are approximately 80 nucleotides in length. Their secondary structure includes four short double-helical elements and three loops (D, anti-codon, and T loops). Lineage: Bacteria; Bacillati; Cyanobacteriota; Cyanophyceae; Chroococcales; Aphanothecaceae. The record is from Rfam.
GCCACGUUAGCUCAGUUGGUAGAGCACAUCACUCGUAAUGAUAAGGCCGCGAGUUCAAGUCUCGCACGUGGCU